Molecule: ribosomal RNA, 528 nt
Filed under: uncultured Entrophosporaceae
Lineage: Eukaryota; Fungi; Glomeromycota; Glomeromycetes; Entrophosporales; Entrophosporaceae
Description: SSU rRNA
Rfam family: Eukaryotic small subunit ribosomal RNA
Source: RNAcentral
AGCAGCCGCGGUAAUUCCAGCUCCAAUAGCGUAUAUUAAAGUUGUUGCAGUUAAAAAGCUCGUAGUUGAAUUUCGGGAUUGACACAUCGGUCGUGCCUUAAGGGGUAUGAACUGGUGUAGUCAAUUUCUCACCUUCUGGAGAACCGCAAUGCCCUUAAUUGGGUGUCGCGGGGAACCAGGACCUUUACUUUGAAAAAAUUAGAGUGUUUAAAGCAGGCAUUUUGCUUGAAUACAUUAGCAUGGAAUAAUAAAAUAGGACGGCAUGAUUCUAUUUUGUUGGUUUCUAGGAUCACCGUAAUGAUUAAUAGGGAUAGUUGGGGGCAUUAGUAUUCAAUUGUCAGAGGUGAAAUUCUUGGAUUUAUUGAAGACUAACUACUGCGAAAGCAUUUGCCAAGGAUGUUUUCAUUAAUCAAGAACGAAAGUUAGGGGAUCGAAGACGAUCAGAUACCGUCGUAGUCUUAACCAUAAACUAUGCCGACUAGGAAUCAGACGAUGUUAAUUUUUUAAUGACUCGUUUGGCACCUUACG